UUGCUUUGAUGGAAGACCUGUUUGUGUUGUUGUGUGGGUUUGGGUUCACCCGAGGUCCUUUGGCUUGGCACUGGUUGAGCCUUUUGAGAGCCCUCCACCCUUUGGUUUUUUUAUGCAUUUGUUUCUUCUUCUUUUUUUAAAAACAAAAACGUAAUUUCUUUUCAUAAAAAUAAAAUGCACCAUUUGUUUUUAUUAUUAUUUUCUCUUUAAGAAAAUUAAAAUAAACAUAUAUUUUCU
This 237-nucleotide long non-coding RNA is filed under the name Lathyrus oleraceus (garden pea). Its description in RNAcentral is "Pisum sativum (pea) long non-coding RNA (PSAT_LNC005415)". The record is from RNAcentral. Lineage: Eukaryota; Viridiplantae; Streptophyta; Magnoliopsida; Fabales; Fabaceae.